GAUUAAGAACGUAGCGAAAUGCGAUAAGUAAUGUGAAUUGCAGAAUUCAGUGAAUCAUCGAAUCUUUGAACGCACAUUGCGCCCGCUAGUAUUCUGGCGGGCAUGCCUGUCCGAGCGUCAUUUCAACCCUCAAGCCCCCGGGCUUGGUGUUGGGGAUCGGCGAGCCUCCGCGCCCGCCGUCCCCUAAAUCUAGUGGCGGUCUCGCUGUAGCUUCCUCUGCGUAGUAGCACACCUCGCACUGGGAAACAGCGCGGCCACGCCGUUAAACCCCCAACUUCUGAACGUUUGACCUCGGAUCAGGUAGGAAUACCCGCUGAACUUAAGCAUAUCAAUAAGCGGAGGA
Molecule: unclassified non-coding RNA, 343 nt
Filed under: soil metagenome
Description: partial contains 5.8S ribosomal RNA, internal transcribed spacer 2, and large subunit ribosomal RNA
Rfam family: 5.8S ribosomal RNA (bases 1-120)
Source: RNAcentral